UGUGCAUAGUUUGCUGCAUCUCUUCUCGCAGCUCGGCGAUAGGAAUACAACCUUUUGCAUAGCGAGUCGCGUCGAAGCGGCAAAUGGACUCCUCGCCAACAAUCUGCACACAUACCUCUCGGGCGAAGAUAGUUCCUCAUCGCUAAUCUGUCCAUUGCGUUGUCUGCCUUGAACAGGACUAGAUACGGAUAAGGAAUCACUUUUCAUGAAGGAUUUCAAGGAGGGGAAGGAACUAUUUUCAUUCUCGAACGAGGUCAUCAAUUCGUCGAACACAGAGUUCGAUCGUUUGAUGUCCACAUCCGAAGAUAUUAUAGAGCUAAGGCUCAAAUUACUGCUUGAAAGCUUCGUUUUACAAAUCGAACCUUUGAAUUCCUUGUUCUCUUUGAGAUCUUUAAGAAAAGCUUCUUGUGAUAACGAGUUAGUCUCGGUGGAAUCGCUCGAGAAAUCUGACGCGAAAUCGUCGAAUUCCGAUGGAGGAGCUAUC
Molecule: long non-coding RNA, 484 nt
Organism: Bombus pyrosoma
Lineage: Eukaryota; Metazoa; Arthropoda; Insecta; Hymenoptera; Apidae
Exons: 3
Source: RefSeq, a predicted model, not a curated record